Molecule: ribosomal RNA, 301 nt
Filed under: uncultured bacterium
Lineage: Bacteria
Description: partial 16S ribosomal RNA
Rfam family: Bacterial small subunit ribosomal RNA
Source: RNAcentral
CAGCCGCCACGGUAAUACGGAGGGUGCAAGCGUUAAUCGGAAUUACUGGGCGUAAAGCGCACGCAGGCGGUCUGACAAGUCAGAUGUGAAAUCCCCGGGCUUAACCUGGGAACUGCAUUUGAAACUGUCAGGCUGGAGUCUUGUAGAGGGGGGUAGAAUUCCAGGUGUAGCGGUGAAAUGCGUAGAGAUCUGGAGGAAUACCGGUGGCGAAGGCGGCCCCCUGGACAAAGACUGACGCUCAGGUGCGAAAGCGUGGGGAGCAAACAGGAUUAGAGACCCCUGUAGUCCCUGUCUCUUAUAC